AUUUUGAGUGGGGGACUUUGGCAAAGUUAGAUGGACAUUUCUCCCUUCAUUUCUCCAUGAAGGGAGAAAGGAGGUAUUGUGUGCCUUCUACACCAGGACCUGUCCCUAAGGAGACAUCAUACCACAAUGGAUACUUUCUGCCUUCACGGAGCCUUCAGCCUAGUGAGCCGGCUAGCAUUCGUCAAGUGCCUUCUUUCUGCUAAGCACUUUCACACUCCCUUGGACUACGUUUCCCAGAAAAAGACACUGAGACAGGGAUUCAAGGGCACGUAUGUAGUUGGGAGGUGAUCCCAGGACCCACCAGCAGUGGGGUGAGGAGGUGAGACCAGGAAUUGAGGGAAGAGAAGGCUGAAGGAAUGAGCCAGAUGUCUUUGUGAGUAACCGGGAGGCUUCAGUCCUGCUGGGGGCUCUGGAAGGCUGCGUAGCAUCCACCUGCAUGGUACUGGAUCUGUGUGCUUGGGCCCCUGCCUGGGUUGGUGGGGAUGCUAACCCCUUGGCUGCAUGGCCCACACGGUGCCAUGCUCCUGUGACCAGAAAAAAACCUUGGGCAGAGAUCUGCAGAUUCUUGUGGGGGGUGGGAGGUGCGCCUCAGGUGUUCAGGAACAUGAGCAUGGAGAGGACAGAACGGCUUCACCACCCGUGUCUGCAUCGGGGGACUCGCCCUGUCGAAUCCUCACAACCUGGGAGGCAUCAUCUGCCAGAGGAGACGCGGAACUCACCUUAAUCACACUGCAUAGCUCGUGUCUUCACCACCAGUGAGUGUUGCCUCCUGGAACAUCUGCUCGGAGGCUUCAGUGUGCAGGGCACUCAGCAGACCCCCAGGGCUCAAAGAAAGGUCUCCAAAACCCACGUCUCAUCUACAUCUGUGCUGACCCCCAGACAAUUCACCUGCCGCUGUCUGGGGCUCAGAAUUCAUAGUUCAUCUCCUCUCUCCAGUCCCCCCACCUCCCUCGAGUCCAUUCGUGCCACAACCGAAGGACUCUUCCUAAAUAAAAGUGAGCCA
Suricata suricatta (meerkat) is the source of this 1003-nucleotide long non-coding RNA. RefSeq lists it as uncharacterized. The transcript is spliced from 3 exons. The record is from RefSeq and is a predicted model, not a curated record. Lineage: Eukaryota; Metazoa; Chordata; Mammalia; Carnivora; Herpestidae.